UCCGAGUGGUUUCUGCUAAAGGAACCUUUUGACAGUCCUAGAAACACUGUUGAAUAAGGGGUGGGCAAGUUCUGGUGUCAGCCGCCGCGGUAAAACCAGCACCUCAAGUGGUCAGGAUGAUUAUUGGGCCUAAAGCAUCCGUAGCCGGCUCUGUAAGUUUUCGGUUAAAUCUGUACGCUCAACGUACAGGCUGCUGGGAAUACUGCAGGGCUAGGGAGUGGGAGAGAUAGACGGUACUCGGGAGGAAGUGGUAAAAUGCUUUGAUCUCUCGAUGACCACCUGUGGCGAAGGCGGUCUAUCAGAACACGUCCGACGGUGAGGGAUGAAAGCUGGGGGAGCAAACCGGAUUAGAUACCCGGGUAGUCCCAGCUGUAAACUAUGCAAACUCAAUGAUGCAUUGACUUAUGGUCAAUGCAGUGUUGCAGGGAAGCCGUUAAGUUUGCCGCCUGGGAAGUACGUACGCAAGUAUGAAACUUAAAGGAAUUGGCGGGGGAGCACCACAAGGGGUGAAGCCUGCGGUUCAAUUGGAGUCAACGCCAGAAAUCUUACCCGGAGAGACAGCAGAAUGAAGGUCAAGCUGAAGACUUUACCAGACAAGCUGAGAGGUGGUGCAUGGCCGUCGCCAGCUCGUGCCGUGAGAUGUCCUG
This 647-nucleotide ribosomal RNA is filed under the name uncultured archaeon. RNAcentral describes it as "bacterial SSU rRNA". It matches the Rfam family "Archaeal small subunit ribosomal RNA", at positions 380 to 1028 of the family's 1478-position model. The record is from RNAcentral.